This 1482-nucleotide ribosomal RNA is filed under the name Triticum aestivum (bread wheat). RNAcentral's name for it is "partial small subunit ribosomal RNA". Lineage: Eukaryota; Viridiplantae; Streptophyta; Magnoliopsida; Poales; Poaceae. The record is from RNAcentral.
AUGGCGUUCAAGAAGGAUGAUAACUUCGGGGAAUGGUACUCCGAGGUUGUUGUUAACAGUGAAAUUAUUGAGUACCAUGACAUCCCUGGCUGUUAUAUUUUGAGGCCAUGGGUGAUGGAGAUCUGGGAAUUGCUGAAAGAAUUCUUUGAUGCAGAAAUAAAAAAGCUGAAGUCGAAAUCUUAUUAUUUCCCUCUGUUCGUUACUGAGAAUGUUGUGCAGAAGAAGAAGGACCACUUUGAGAGCUUUGCUCCUGAGGUGGCAUGGGUUACUAAAACAGGAAAUUCUGAGCUGGAAGCUCCUAUUGCAAUCCGUCCCACGAGUGAGACGGUCAUGUAUCCAUACUUCGCUAAAUGGAUAAGAAGCCAUCGUAACUUACCUUUGAGAUGCAACCAGUGGUGCAGCGUUGUUCGAUGGGAGUGUAGCAAUCCAAUUCCUUUAAUAAGGAGCCGCGAAUUUCUUUGGCAAGAAGGGCAUACAGUUUUUGCAACUAAAGAGGAGUCAGAUGAAGAGGUUCUCCAUAUAUUGGAACUCUACCGAAGGAUAUAUGAAGAAUUUUUAGCAGUUCCAGUGUCCAAAGGGAGGAAAAGUGAGAUGGAAAAAUUCGCUGGUGGACUUUAUACAACUAGUGUUGAGGCCUUCAUUCCAAACACUGGCCGUGGUAUACAAGCUGCAACUUCAAAUUGUCUUGGUCAAAACUUUGCAAAGAUGUUUGAAAUCUUUUUCGAGGGUGAGAAUGAUCCCACUCAAAAAAAGAAGAAUAAGAAAGAUAAAAGGUCCUUGGUGUGGCAGAAUUCUUGGGCGUACACCACCCGCUCGAUUGGGGUGAUGGUGAUGACCCAUGGGGAUGACAAGGGCUUAGUGCUACCACCAAGGGUGGCACCUAUCCAGGUCAUCGUUAUUCCUGAUCCAUUAUUAGAGGAUGCGGACACGGCUGCUAUUAAAGGAGUGUGUGAGACGAUUGUAUACACUCUAAACCAAGCUGGGAUUCGUGCAGACUUGGAUGCUCGUGAGAACCACGCUCCUGAAUGGAAAUAUUCUCACUGGGAAAUGAAAGGUGUUCCCCUAAGAAUCGAGAUAGAUGUGAAAGAUCUGGCAAACAAGCAGGUGCGCGUCGUCCGCCGAGACAAUGGUGCAAAGGUUGAUAUUCCUUCGACCGAUUUGGUUGAGCAUGUAAAGGUGUUGCUGGAUGGGAUUCAAGAUAGCUUGUUUGAAACAGCCAAGCAGAAGAGAGACGCUUGCAUUGAAGUCGUCCACACUUGGGACGAAUUCACAGCAGCUUUGAAUGACAAGAAGCUGAUCUUGGCUCCAUGGUGCGAGGAAGAGGAGGUUGAGAAGGACGUGAGAGCUCGGACCGAAGGCGAUCUCGGCUCUGCCAAAACAUUGUGUGCUCCAUUCGAUCAACCAGAUCUUCCAGAAGGAACUGUGUGCUUUGCUUCUGGAAAGCCCGCCAAGACCUGGUCGUUUUGGGGCCGCAGCUAUUGA